ACGCUCGACACCUACGGGAGGCAGCAGUGGGGAAUAUUGCACAAUGGGCGAAAGCCUGAUGCAGCAACGCCGCGUGAGCGAAGAAGGCCUUCGGGUCGUAAAGCUCUGUCCUCAAGGAAGAUAAUGACGGUACUUGAGGAGGAAGCCCCGGCCAACUACGUGCCACCAGCCGCGGUAAUCUGAGCGGGCUGGCAAGGC
This 198-nucleotide ribosomal RNA is filed under the name uncultured bacterium. Its description in RNAcentral is "partial 16S ribosomal RNA". It matches the Rfam family "Bacterial small subunit ribosomal RNA", at positions 328 to 539 of the family's 1533-position model. The record is from RNAcentral.